GUUUGUAUCUCUGGGAGCAUAUUUUUGAAGGCUUACUUGAUCCCAGCGAUGUGACUGCUCAAUGGAGAGAAGGAAAGUCAGUCGUAGGAAGAACACAGUACAGAAAGAAAGACAGAAAUAUGACUCCUUUUUCACCACUGAAUCGGUAACAUCAUCCAUAGGCUGUGCUCAGAAUAUGAACGCAUGAAUACAUACAAGGCAAACUGAACUUCUGGAUGAGCCUGAUGAAGCCCUGUCACCUCUGGGCAGUGUAGCAUGUGACUCAGUUAUUGAGAGUACAGACUCUGGAGCCAGACUAUCUUAGUUCAAAUUCUUUUAUUUUUUUCAGACAGAGUCUU
This 338-nucleotide small RNA is filed under the name Pan troglodytes (chimpanzee). RNAcentral's name for it is "processed transcript". Lineage: Eukaryota; Metazoa; Chordata; Mammalia; Primates; Hominidae. The record is from RNAcentral.